This 967-nucleotide long non-coding RNA is filed under the name Vulpes vulpes (red fox). Its description in RNAcentral is "lncRNA (ENSVVUG00000007285.1)". The record is from RNAcentral. Lineage: Eukaryota; Metazoa; Chordata; Mammalia; Carnivora; Canidae.
AACCUUUAAAUUCUAGAUUGUAGCAAUAAUGGAAGAGAUAGAAGACAUUUAUGUACAAAUACUAUUCCUUUUCCCAGCACCAAUAUACUUCUUUCUAUCACAGCUUCAGUUUAAAAGCAUUCAAGGAGUUUCUGAAGCCUACAGCUUGUGAAGAAGAGUGCCUCAUCUGCUGGAAGAACACACUUUACAUAAAAGAGGAUGAGAUUUGGAGAAUGAGAACAUUACUGGAGCCUGACGUGGGGGAAACCAACAAGCCAGGAAGGACGAAAUCAGUUGAGGGAGAUUUGAACCGCUACUCAAGUGUGCAGAGUACCAGGGAGAGCCCCAACAGGUCCUUGAGGAGGCAUCUAAGAACAACCCAAGCAAAUGCAAAUCCUGGAAGAGCAGACCCUGAUGUCAUUGUCUUCUCAAGCAGGAAUGACACUGACCAGCCCCUCCACAAACGCAGAUGGAGCAGCGCCUGACUCAGCAUACCCCAGUUUGCCUCAUGUGUCCAUAAACAGCAAAUACAAAUUUCCCCCUUUAGAAUCAGAGAACCUCAGAGUUGGAAAGGUAUUUAGAGAUCACAUACAGUAGCCCUCUUGUUUUUCUUAUGAAUCAGGACCUGGGGGAACCCGGGUGGCUCAGUGGUUGAGCAUCUGCUUUUGGCCUAGUUGUCAUCCAGGGGACCUGGGAUCAAGUAUUGCAUUGGGCACCCCGUGGGGAGCCUGCUUCUCCCUCUGCCUGUGUCUCUGCCUCUCUCUGUGUGUCUCUCAUUAACGAUUAAGUAAAAUCUUUAAAAAGAAAAAAAACAACAACAUUGGGGCCUGGGCCCAGGGAAAUGAAGCCAUUGGCCCAGCGGUUAUUAUUAUUAUUAGCUGAGUUAAAACUAGAGGUAAAAGUUUCUUACCCUCUAGCCAGACACCAUCCACUCACUACAGAAUGUGCUUGCUUGGUAUUCAAGAGUAGCAUUGGAACCAAAGUCCUG